GUACUACUCCCUAUGUUCCAAAAUUCUUGUCUUAGAUUUGUCUAGGUAUGAAUGUAUCUAGUCAUAUUUUAGUAUUUCGAUACAUCCACUUCAAGACAAUCCCAAAACAAGAAUUUUAGGACAGAGGGAGUAGUAA
Molecule: microRNA precursor, 136 nt
Filed under: Hordeum vulgare
Lineage: Eukaryota; Viridiplantae; Streptophyta; Magnoliopsida; Poales; Poaceae
Description: microRNA MIR1122
Rfam family: MIR1120/MIR1122 microRNA precursor family
Source: RNAcentral